GCCAGAGACUUGAGGGAAGCUCUGCUCUACUGUGGGCUCAGAAGGUAGGACCCACGGAUGACCUCCACCAUGGCCUGGUGCCCUCUCCUCUUCAGCCUCCUGGCUCACUGCACAGGUUCCUGGGCGCAGGCCGUGCUGACUCAGCCUCCCUCAGUGUCUGGGUCUCCAGGAGGAUCAGUCACCAUCUCCUGCGCUGGAAGCAGCACCAAUAUUGGGGAUGGCUACUCUGUCCAGUGGUACCAGCAGCUCUCCGGAACUGCUCCUAAACUCAUCAUCUAUAGCAAUAGCAACCGACCCUCCGGGGUCUCUGGUCGGUUCUCUGGCUCCAAAUCUGGCAGCUCAGCCUCCCUGACCAUCAGUGGGCUCCAAUCUGAGGACGAGGCUGAUUAUUACUGCCAGUCUUAUGAUAGCAGCCUCAGUGCUCGCACAGUGCUCCAGCCUCAUGGGGAAGCUAAGACAAAAACUUCCUCUUCUGCCAGAAGGGUGCUUACCCAUGUCUCAGUUACUCUUCUCUCAUUGCUGGGACAAAUACCCAUCACUGAAAGUGAGAGAAGGAAGCGUUUCUUUAGCUAUCAAGAAUGA
This is a non-coding RNA of Octodon degus (degu), 582 nucleotides long. The record is from the annotation of a RefSeq genome assembly. NCBI's taxonomy places the organism in Eukaryota, Metazoa, Chordata, Mammalia, Rodentia, Octodontidae.